GGGCUCACUUCGGCAGCACAUCUACUGAUACUGGAACGAUUCAGAGACUACGAUGGCCUCUGUGCAAGGAUGACGCGCAAAUUCGUGAAGCGAUCCAUAUUCUU
Small nuclear RNA from Fukomys damarensis (Damara mole-rat), 104 nucleotides. NCBI's taxonomy places the organism in Eukaryota, Metazoa, Chordata, Mammalia, Rodentia, Bathyergidae. The record is from Ensembl.